Ixodes scapularis (black-legged tick) is the source of this 74-nucleotide non-coding RNA. Lineage: Eukaryota; Metazoa; Arthropoda; Arachnida; Ixodida; Ixodidae. The record is from the annotation of a RefSeq genome assembly.
UCCUGGUUAGCUUAGUCGGUAGAGCGCUCCACCUAAACUUGGAGAGGUCCCUGGUUCGAUACCAGGACCAGGCG